RNAcentral lists this ribosomal RNA (513 nucleotides) under uncultured archaeon. RNAcentral's name for it is "bacterial SSU rRNA". It matches the Rfam family "Archaeal small subunit ribosomal RNA", at positions 1 to 523 of the family's 1478-position model. The record is from RNAcentral.
UUCCGGUUGAUCCCGCCAGACCCGACUGCUAUCAGAGUGGGACUAAGCCAUGCGAGUCAACGCCGCAAGGCGUGGCAUACGGCUCAGUAACACGUAGCCAACAUGCCCAAAGGACGUGGAUAACCUCGGGAAACUGAGGAUAAACCGCGAUAGGCCAAGGUUUCUGGAAUGAGCCAUGGCCGAAAUCUAUAUGGCCUUUGGAUUGGACUGCGGCCGAUCAGGCUGUUGGUGAGGUAAUGGCCCACCAAACCUGUAACCGGUACGGGCUUUGAGAGAAGGAGCCCGGAGAUGGGCACUGAGACAAGGGCCCAGGCCCUAUGGGGCGCAGCAGGCGCGAAACCUCUGCAAUAGGCGAAAGCUUGACAGGGUUACUCUGAGUGAUGCCCGCUAGGGGUAUCUUUUGGCACCUCUAAAAUGGUGCAGAAUAAGGGGUGGGGCAGUCUGGUGUCAGCCGCCGCGGUAAUACCAGCACCCCCGAGUGUCGGGAACGAUAUUGGGCCUAAAGCAUCCGUA